UUUAUGGAGAGUUUGAUCCUGGCUCAGGAUGAACGCUGGCGGCGUGCCUAAUACAUGCAAGUCGAGCGAACGGACGAGAAGCUUGCUUCUCUGAUGUUAGCGGCGGACGGGUGAGUAACACGUGGAUAACCUACCUAUAAGACUGGGAUAACUUCGGGAAACCGGAGCUAAUACCGGAUAAUAUUUUGAACCGCAUGGUUCAAAAGUGAAAGACGGUCUUGCUGUCACUUAUAGAUGGAUCCGCGCUGCAUUAGCUAGUUGGUAAGGUAACGGCUUACCAAGGCAACGAUGCAUAGCCGACCUGAGAGGGUGAUCGGCCACACUGGAACUGAGACACGGUCCAGACUCCUACGGGAGGCAGCAGUAGGGAAUCUUCCGCAAUGGGCGAAAGCCUGACGGAGCAACGCCGCGUGAGUGAUGAAGGUCUUCGGAUCGUAAAACUCUGUUAUUAGGGAAGAACAUAUGUGUAAGUAACUGUGCACAUCUUGACGGUACCUAAUCAGAAAGCCACGGCUAACUACGUGCCAGCAGCCGCGGUAAUACGUAGGUGGCAAGCGUUAUCCGGAAUUAUUGGGCGUAAAGCGCGCGUAGGCGGUUUUUUAAGUCUGAUGUGAAAGCCCACGGCUCAACCGUGGAGGGUCAUUGGAAACUGGAAAACUUGAGUGCAGAAGAGGAAAGUGGAAUUCCAUGUGUAGCGGUGAAAUGCGCAGAGAUAUGGAGGAACACCAGUGGCGAAGGCGACUUUCUGGUCUGUAACUGACGCUGAUGUGCGAAAGCGUGGGGAUCAAACAGGAUUAGAUACCCUGGUAGUCCACGCCGUAAACGAUGAGUGCUAAGUGUUAGGGGGUUUCCGCCCCUUAGUGCUGCAGCUAACGCAUUAAGCACUCCGCCUGGGGAGUACGACCGCAAGGUUGAAACUCAAAGGAAUUGACGGGGACCCGCACAAGCGGUGGAGCAUGUGGUUUAAUUCGAAGCAACGCGAAGAACCUUACCAAAUCUUGACAUCCUUUGACAACUCUAGAGAUAGAGCCUUCCCCUUCGGGGGACAAAGUGACAGGUGGUGCAUGGUUGUCGUCAGCUCGUGUCGUGAGAUGUUGGGUUAAGUCCCGCAACGAGCGCAACCCUUAAGCUUAGUUGCCAUCAUUAAGUUGGGCACUCUAAGUUGACUGCCGGUGACAAACCGGAGGAAGGUGGGGAUGACGUCAAAUCAUCAUGCCCCUUAUGAUUUGGGCUACACACGUGCUACAAUGGACAAUACAAAGGGCAGCGAAACCGCGAGGUCAAGCAAAUCCCAUAAAGUUGUUCUCAGUUCGGAUUGUAGUCUGCAACUCGACUACAUGAAGCUGGAAUCGCUAGUAAUCGUAGAUCAGCAUGCUACGGUGAAUACGUUCCCGGGUCUUGUACACACCGCCCGUCACACCACGAGAGUUUGUAACACCCGAAGCCGGUGGAGUAACCUUUUAGGAGCUAGCCGUCGAAGGUGGGACAAAUGAUUGGGGUGAAGUCGUAACAAGGUAGCCGUAUCGGAAGGUGCGGCUGGAUCACCUCCUUUC
This 1553-nucleotide ribosomal RNA is filed under the name Staphylococcus aureus. Its description in RNAcentral is "partial 16S ribosomal RNA". It matches the Rfam family "Bacterial small subunit ribosomal RNA". Lineage: Bacteria; Bacillati; Bacillota; Bacilli; Caryophanales; Staphylococcaceae. The record is from RNAcentral.